RNAcentral lists this transfer RNA (69 nucleotides) under Eurysternus foedus. RNAcentral's name for it is "tRNA-Leu". The record is from RNAcentral. Lineage: Eukaryota; Metazoa; Arthropoda; Insecta; Coleoptera; Scarabaeidae.
AUUACUUUGGCAGAUUAGUGCUUUAAAUUUAGAAUUUAAAUAAAUAUUAUUUAAUUAAUAUAGGUAAUA